RNAcentral lists this ribosomal RNA (762 nucleotides) under uncultured Neocallimastigales. RNAcentral's name for it is "partial large subunit ribosomal RNA". It matches the Rfam family "Eukaryotic large subunit ribosomal RNA", at positions 23 to 629 of the family's 3401-position model. The record is from RNAcentral. Lineage: Eukaryota; Fungi; Neocallimastigomycota; Neocallimastigomycetes; Neocallimastigales.
ACACGCAUGACACACUGCAUAUCAAUAAGCGGAGGAAAAGAAACUAACAAGGAUUCCCCUUAGUAACGGCGAGUGAAGCGGGAAGAGCUCAAAUUUGAAAUCUUCAAGGUUCUACCUUGACGAAUUGUAGUUUAAAGAAGUGUUUUCUGUUAGUAGAGUGGUAAAAGUUCUUUGGGAAUAGGACAUCAUAGAGGGUGAGAAUCCCGUAUUUGAUCACUUUCUACUAGCUUUGUGAUACACUUUCAAAGAGUCGGAUUGUUUGGGAAUGCAGUCCAAAAUGGGUGGUAAAUUUCAUCUAAAGCUAAAUAUUGGCGAGAGACCGAUAGCGAACAAGUACCGUGAGGGAAAGAUGAAAAGAACUUUGAAAAGAGAGUUAAACAGUACGUGAAAUUGUCAAAAGGGAAGCGUUUGACACCAGUGUUGUUUUUCCGAAAAUCAAUUACGAAUGUUUUAUUUUUGAGAAGUUAUGACUUCAUCGGCUUGCUUCUCUCUUUACUGAAACUUUCUUAAUGCACUUUUCGGUUAACAAGUCAACAUCGAUUUCUUUUGUUGUAAAAGGGUAUGAGGAAGGUGGCUUUCUUUUCGGAGAAAGUGUUUAUAGCCUUGUACCUCUGCAAUCGGAGAGAUUGAGGUCUGCAGCGUAGAUCCUUCGGGGUUAGAUACAUUUGUGCUAAGCUAUAGCCUUUCAUAGACAACUUGUUGACUAUGAUCAGUCAUGUAGCUUACUCGCUUAUGCUAUUUUACCUACGCUUAGGAUGUUGA